Molecule: ribosomal RNA, 392 nt
Filed under: uncultured bacterium
Lineage: Bacteria
Description: bacterial SSU rRNA
Rfam family: Bacterial small subunit ribosomal RNA
Source: RNAcentral
CUUCGGUCCACAAGUAAAGUGGCAUACGGGUGAGUAACACGUGGGUAACCUGCCCGGAGGUGGGGGACAACUCUUCGAAAGGAGAGCUAAUACCGCAUAACAUCCCGAGUACUUCGGUACACGGGAUCAAAGUUUGCCUCUGUUUCAUGCAAACGCCACCGGAGGGACCCGCGCCCCAUUAGCUUGAUGGUGAGGUAACGGCUCACCAUGGCUACGAUGGGUAGCCGGCCUGAGAGGGUGAUCGGCCACACUGGAACUGAGACACGGUCCAGACUCCUACGGGAGGCAGCAGUGAGGAAUUUUGCGCAAUGGGCGAAAGCCUGACGCAGCGACGCCGCGUGGAGGAAGAAGGCCUUCGGGUCGUAAACUCCUGUCAAGAGGGACGAAUCCCU